GACAGAGGGUGCAAACGUUGUUCGGAAUUACUGGGCGUAAAGCGAGUGUAGGCGGUGUGGUAAGUCGGAUGUGAAAGCCCCGGGCUCAACCCGGGAAGUGCAUUCGAUACUGCCACGCUAGAGUAUCGGAGAGGUUGGUGGAAUUCUCGGUGUAGAGGUGAAAUUCGUAGAUAUCGAGAGGAACACCAGUGGCGAAGGCGGCUCACUGGCCCGGUACUGACGCUGAGAUGCGAAAGCGUGGGGAGCAAACAGG
RNAcentral lists this ribosomal RNA (253 nucleotides) under uncultured bacterium. RNAcentral's name for it is "partial 16S ribosomal RNA". It matches the Rfam family "Bacterial small subunit ribosomal RNA", at positions 524 to 776 of the family's 1533-position model. The record is from RNAcentral.